Molecule: ribosomal RNA, 451 nt
Filed under: uncultured bacterium
Lineage: Bacteria
Description: partial 16S ribosomal RNA
Rfam family: Bacterial small subunit ribosomal RNA
Source: RNAcentral
GUGGGGAAUAUUGGACAAUGGGGGGAACCCUGAUCCAGCCAUGCCGCGUGUGUGAAGAAGGCCUUUUGGUUGUAAAGCACUUUAAGCGAGGAGGAGGCUACCGAGAUUAAUACUCUUGGAUAGUGGACGUUACUCGCAGAAUAAGCACCGGCUAACUCUGUGCCAGCAGCCGCGGUAAUACAGAGGGUGCAAGCGUUAAUCGGAUUUACUGGGCGUAAAGCGCGCGUAGGUGGCAAAUUAAGUCAAAUGUGAAAUCCCCGAGCUUAACUUGGUAAUUGUAUUCGAUACUGGUUGGCUAGAGUAUGGGAGAGGAUGGUAGAAUUCCAGGUGUAGCGGUGAAAUGCGUAGAGAUCUGGAGGAAUACCGAUGGCGAAGGCAGCCAUCUGGCCUAAUACUGACACUGAGGUGCGAAAGCAUGGGGAGCAAACAGGAUUAGAUACCCGAGUAGUCC